RNAcentral lists this ribosomal RNA (778 nucleotides) under uncultured bacterium. Its description in RNAcentral is "bacterial SSU rRNA". It matches the Rfam family "Bacterial small subunit ribosomal RNA", at positions 35 to 843 of the family's 1533-position model. The record is from RNAcentral.
GCUGGCGGCAGGCCUAACAUAUGCAAGUCGAACGGAGUUAUAUUGUAGCUUGCUAUGGUAUAACUUAGUGGCAGACGGGUGAGUAAUGUAUAGGAAUCUACCUAGUAGUACGGAAUAAUUGUUGGAAACGGCAACUAAUACCGUAUACGCCCUACGGGGGAAAAAUUUAUUGCUAUUAGAUGAGCCUAUAUUAGAUUAGCUAGUUGGUGGAGUAAUAGCCUACCAAGGCAAUGAUCUAUAGCUGAUCUGAGAGGAUGAUCAGCCACACUGGAACUGAGAUACGGUCCAGACUCCUACGGGAGGCAGCAGUGGGGAAUAUUGGACAAUGGGCGAAAGCCUGAUCCAGCCAUGCCGCAUGAGUGAAGAAGGCCUUUGGGUUGUAAAGCUCUUUUAGUGAGGAAGAUAAUGACGGUACUCACAGAAGAAGUCCUGGCUAACUCCGUGCCAGCAGCCGCGGUAAUACGGAGAGGGUUAGCGUUAUUCGGAAUUAUUGGGCGUAAAGGGCGCGUAGGCGGAUUAGUAAGUUAAAAGUGAAAUCCCAAGGCUCAACCUUGGAAUUGCUUUUAAAACUGCUAAUCUAGAGAUUGAAAGAGGAUAGAGGAAUUCCUAGUGUAGAGGUGAAAUUCGUAAAUAUUAGGAGGAACACCAGUGGCGAAGGCGUCUAUCUGGUUCAAAUCUGACGCUGAGGCGCGAAGGCUUGGGGAGCAAACAGGAUUAGAUACCCUGGUAGUCCACGCUGUAAACGAUGAAUGUUAAAUAUGGGAAGUUUUACUUUCUG